Molecule: long non-coding RNA, 202 nt
Filed under: Homo sapiens (human)
Lineage: Eukaryota; Metazoa; Chordata; Mammalia; Primates; Hominidae
Description: non-protein coding LINC02476:25
Source: RNAcentral
CUUGCUGCUACCAUGGAAGAAGCGACUUUCGCCUCCCGCCGUGAUUCUGAGGCCUUUCCAGCCAUGUCAAACUCAAAAUGUGACUGAAAAACAGAAGCAUUUGGAAUACGUAACAGAAGUCAUUAAAAAGAGGUAUGAUGAAUAUGAUGAACUUAGAAUGAUACUGAUCUUCACAAUGAAGCAUAAAGUUAAAAGCAGAUAA